Molecule: long non-coding RNA, 552 nt
Filed under: Piliocolobus tephrosceles (Ugandan red Colobus)
Lineage: Eukaryota; Metazoa; Chordata; Mammalia; Primates; Cercopithecidae
Description: lncRNA (ENSPTEG00000006878.1)
Source: RNAcentral
CUGUAAUCUUUUGGAGCAGGUUGAAAUACCUUAAAUCUUUAAAUUAGUUGGCUCAGUAGACCCUGGUAAACAGUGGCUUUUGUGUUUCAGGCUGCAGUGUCUGGGUCAGUGCAAGCUUCAGAUAGACUUAUGGAAGAGCUCAGGGACAUAUACAGAUCACAGAGUUAUAAGACAGUGAUCUUCAGAUCUUAAAAGAAAAACAAGGGAUAGGAGACAUUUUGCUUAUCUUUCAAGUGCUCCUGACAGCAUCUCAGAGGAUGGUGCCCUCAGGCUUACUCUCUGGGAAAUGCUGCUCUGUUGGAAAUCCAGAGUUCUGAGUGAUUCCCAUGUGUUUUCUGCUGCAGAGCAGGACAUACUGAAGUGAUUCCUUCAUGAGCAGAUAUUAGAGGUCUCCUUUUGACAGCUUGUUACAAAGGUGAUCACAAAUAUACUAUUAGGUGAGUGUAAGUCCCAGGUUGAGUGUGAAGCACAGUUGUUUAGAAUUGUGUACUGUUUUAUUUUGCUACCUUUAAAGCUUCUCUGGGCGGUUUUGGUUUCAGCAGUAAAAUUGCU